UACGGAGGGUGCAAGCGUUAUCCGGAUUCACGGGGUUUAAAGGGAGCGCAGGCGGGCUGGUAAGUCAGUGGUGAAAGCCUUGAGCUUAACUCGAGAACUGCCAUUGAUACUAUCAGUCUUGAAUAUUGUUGAGGUUUGCGGAAUGGGUCAUGUAGCGGUGAAAUGCAUAGAUAUGACCCGGAACACCUAUUGCGAAGGCAGCAGGCUAAACAAAGAUUGACGCUGAGGCUCGAAAGCGUGGGGAUCAAACAGG
Molecule: ribosomal RNA, 253 nt
Filed under: uncultured bacterium
Lineage: Bacteria
Description: partial 16S ribosomal RNA
Rfam family: Bacterial small subunit ribosomal RNA
Source: RNAcentral